AAAGACCGAAUUUUUCGGUUUUCGUGUCCAACGUUUGACCGUUCGUUUUAUAUGAAAUUUUUUUAUAAUUAAUAUUUUCAUUAUUGUUAGAUAAUAAAACAUGACUGAUACUUUAUGCAUGAUUUAUCUUUUUAAAUUUUUUUCAUAAUUUUUUUAAAUAAAACGAACGGUAAAACGUUAGACACGGAAACCCAGGAAUUGAGUUUUU
This is a microRNA precursor of Oryza sativa Indica Group (long-grained rice), 208 nucleotides long. It matches the Rfam family "MIR812 microRNA precursor family". Lineage: Eukaryota; Viridiplantae; Streptophyta; Magnoliopsida; Poales; Poaceae. The record is from Rfam.